AGGAAUUACCCGAUUCGAUCAUGACAAGUUGUAAUAUGAUUACAACUUGCUCAAGGGCCCUAUUCGGGUCCAUUAGUCUAAAAAGUUUUAUCUUGUGCGAGCACCUUCCUUUGGGUAUAGGCCGCUAGCACCGCCAGUUCCGGAGUUCUGUCGAUGCAGUUGGCGUGGAUACCGGUAGAGACGUGACACAUGGAGCGCUUGGUUUGGCGAGCCAGCAUCAGUUUUGCGCUAUAAGAUCGCGCCCAGGCGCGCGAUUCCUACAAUGUGUGUAUGGUAAAAUCAAAUAAGGAAGAUGACUUGGAGGGGGAGAGUAUUGCACAAAAGGAGGAAUGAGGAGUAAGAUCGACAUGAGGAGAUUCAUGAGCACAACAGAAGAAAUGCACAAAUGUUGUCAAAUGUUGAUAGAUUCCGGUGAGAGCUCACAGUGCUCUAGCGAGACAAGGCCAAUUUGAUUUGCAUGAGUUCGAGCCAAGUAGGUUAUGAGGCUUCACCAAUUCAACAACCUAUUGUUGCCACGAGAAUCCAAUCCUUUGAAGACUCGAUUCAUAUGUACCAAUCGCCCGGAAACAAUCCAGCUUCUUAGCCAGGCAUUUUACCAGCAAGAACUGGGUCACAUUAGUCACACGCGCUCACAUCCCCUCAGAUCUAUUGCCAAGCAAGUCAAGCAACAGGUUAUUAAACCGUUGGAAGGAGUAGGGAAAGGAUAGGAUAUCUUGCUCAGUGGACAUGAGGACGUGGAUACUCCUUCCACCCCAAAAGUUUUAGCUUCCUCAGUGCCUCUAUUAUUUCACCCGUCCAAUAUUCCCGUGUACAAUGGCAAAAUUGAACCAAAGUUUCAUUCAACAUGACUACUUAAAAUA
Non-coding RNA from Punica granatum (pomegranate), 860 nucleotides. Lineage: Eukaryota; Viridiplantae; Streptophyta; Magnoliopsida; Myrtales; Lythraceae. The record is from RefSeq and is a predicted model, not a curated record.